RNAcentral lists this ribosomal RNA (371 nucleotides) under Shigella sonnei. RNAcentral describes it as "bacterial SSU rRNA". It matches the Rfam family "Bacterial small subunit ribosomal RNA", at positions 1 to 368 of the family's 1533-position model. Lineage: Bacteria; Pseudomonadati; Pseudomonadota; Gammaproteobacteria; Enterobacterales; Enterobacteriaceae. The record is from RNAcentral.
AAAUUGAAGAGUUUGAUCAUGGCUCAGAUUGAACGCUGGCGGCAGGCCUAACACAUGCAAGUCGAACGGUAACAGGAAGCAGCUUGCUGCUUCGCUGACGAGUGGCGGACGGGUGAGUAAUGUCUGGGAAACUGCCUGAUGGAGGGGGAUAACUACUGGAAACGGUAGCUAAUACCGCAUAAUGUCGCAAGACCAAAGAGGGGGACCUUCGGGCCUCUUGCCAUCGGAUGUGCCCAGAUGGGAUUAGCUUGUUGGUGGGGUAACGGCUCACCAAGGCGACGAUCCCUAGCUGGUCUGAGAGGAUGACCAGCCACACUGGAACUGAGACACGGUCCAGACUCCUACGGGAGGCAGCAGUGGGGAAUAUUGCA